GAUGAACGCUGGCGGCGUGCCUAAUACAUGCAAGUCGAGCGAACAGACGAGGAGCUUGCUCCUCUGACGUUAGCGGCGGACGGGUGAGUAACACGUGGAUAACCUACCUAUAAGACUGGGAUAACUUCGAGAAACCGGAGCUAAUACCGGAUAAUAUAUUGAACCGCAUUGUUCAAUAGUAAAAGACGGUUUUGCUGUCACUUAUAGAUGGAUCCGCGCCGCAUUAGCUAGUUGGUAAGGUAACGGCUUACCAAGGCAACGAUGCGUAGCCGACCUGAGAGGGUGAUAGGCCACACUGGAACGGAGAAACGGCCAAGCCUCCUACGGGAGGCAGAAGUAGGGAAUUUUGCGCAAAGGGCGAAAGCCUGACGGAGCAACGCCGCGGGAGUGAUGAAGGUCUUGGGAUCGUAAAACUCUGUUAUUAGGGAAGAACAAAUGUGUAAGUAACUAUGCACGUCUUGACGGUACCUAACCAGAAAGCCACGGCUAACUACGUG
This 497-nucleotide ribosomal RNA is filed under the name uncultured bacterium. RNAcentral's name for it is "partial 16S ribosomal RNA". It matches the Rfam family "Bacterial small subunit ribosomal RNA", at positions 28 to 507 of the family's 1533-position model. The record is from RNAcentral.